Molecule: ribosomal RNA, 364 nt
Filed under: uncultured bacterium
Lineage: Bacteria
Description: bacterial SSU rRNA
Rfam family: Bacterial small subunit ribosomal RNA
Source: RNAcentral
AGCGAACGCUGGCGGCAGGCCUAACACAUGCAAGUCGAGCGCCCAGCAAUGGGAGCGGCAGACGGGAUAGUAACACGUGGGAACGUACCUUUCAGUUCGGAACAACCCAGGGAAACUUGGGCUAAUACCGAAUACGUCCGUAAGGAGAAAGAUUUAUCGCUGAAAGAUCGGCCCGCGUCUGAUUAGCUAGUUGGUGAGGUAAUGGCUCACCAAGGCGACGAUCAGUAGCNGGUCUGAGAGGAUGAUCAGCAUCACUGGGACUGAGACACGGCCCAGACUCCUACGGGAGGCAGCAGUGGGGAAUAUUGGACAAUGGGCGCAAGCCUGAUCCAGCCAUGCCGCGUGAAGGAUGAAGGCGCUCUGC